This is a long non-coding RNA of Cairina moschata (Muscovy duck), 2001 nucleotides long. NCBI's taxonomy places the organism in Eukaryota, Metazoa, Chordata, Aves, Anseriformes, Anatidae. The record is from Ensembl.
GAGCCCCCUCAAACAGCACGCUCACCCGUGCCAUAUUGCCCAGGGAUGCCUGAAGUACCCAGUGUAUCGACAACUGUGUGUGCAGUUGCUAUAAAUGUGGAAUAAACUAACAUUUGCACAGAAUUAAAUACGCUAUUGCAGUAAGAAGUAUUUCAGCGACAAACUGAGGCUUGUGAAAGUGUUUCUUCAAGGGCUGUUAAAGUAUUCUCCAGCCCCCAAACCACCUAGCAAUGUAACCCCCUAUGGAGAAGCGGGAGCUGAGUGAAGGUUUUGGGAGGUUGGGCUGCCCGAUGCUCUGUGCAGGGUGAAAGCCCCCUCCUCCCCCCAAACAAAACCCCAAACAGCUUACACUGAGAAAUUACAACUGGUGUUGUAAAUCCGAACAGCUGUUGUGAAAUAACUGUUGCCGAAAAAUGGGUUUAAUUUUCUUGCAAAUAAACCACGAGCAUAUGUUGAAACCAACAGCCCGACAGAUAUUGUACAGCCUCUGUUUCUCUUUUCAUUUUUUACAGCACAAGAAAGUUUGAAACCAUUGAAGAUUUUCCAGUUUUCUUUGCAUACGAGAGCCGGUCUUUUGUCUUCAUCCAUGAAAGCUUAGGAGAAGGUGAAAAGGCAACCGAACUGGGGAGACACUGCUCCGGCAUAAUGAGUCUGAGCAGUACUGCUGAACGCUGGAAUCACAUCUAGAAAAGCAGCCACAAUUUGCUAGUUGGUGACUCCUUAGAGCUGGUGAAACUCUUCUAAAGAGGGCUAAAAUGCCUGGGAACAGUUUUGUAACAGAGUCACUCCCAAGGUACGGAGGAAUGCUGAAGGUCAUUGGGAGCAGCACAUAGCACAUUCUCCUUUCCUGAGGAAAGCUGUUAAGAAGGAGCGAGAUUUGAAAGACACAUCCUAAACCUUCUCUACAACAGGGAUAGGCAAUGAAUUAGAAAAGUUCAUGGCCAGUGAAGAAGGCAUAGUACAUAAGGGACCUGUAGAGAAGAUUAUUUUCCCAUGUAUCUCUGUUUGCUCUUACGCCAGCUCAUCUAAUAGGUGUUUUGGUGCUCAUCACUCAUAUUUGAGCAUCACUACUUUUCUUUGGAGAAGCCAUCACUAUUCUCAAGUCAGACUGCAAAGUAACAGCUCUGUUUCUGCCUCAUUGCGCACUCUCGUUGUUGAAUAUAAAGCAGUGUAUAUAUAUAUAUGUUUUUUUUCAGGCUAAUAUGCAUUUUACACACAUCUUAACGUGGGGGAAGAAGAUAUGUUGUCUAACCUAGUUUUGUUUGCAACCAAGUUAUUUAUUUGAUCCAGAUCAGAUUUGAAGGUAUUUGCUAAAAUGAAGUGUUUCUGAUUGUGAUAUAUCUGGUGAUCCUCAAGAUCUUUGAAAAAUUAAGAUGUUACCUGCUCCAAGCUGAACUGGCUGCAAAGGAAAGAUGUUUUUGUGACAGUUCUGCAGUUUGAGAUAGAGCUAGAAUAUUUUUUCUAUCCUGCCCUGGAUUAAAAAUAAGUUGUGUCUAUUUACAUUGCUAUCAAAAAUAUCUACUUGUUGAAAACGUUUAGAAAGCAUGCUAGCCAUAGGACAUAGUAUUCUUCACUAUGUAGAGGACUUGACAAUAUUUGUCCUUUGCCUUGGAGACAGAGACACUCUAGAAGCCCAGAUGUGGAGGGACCAAGAGAGAUGACCUCAUGUGUCCGAAGAAGAUGACUUCACAUCUCUGGGCCACCACCUUGUCUGGAGCCACCAGAAUGGUUGUCUGUGUUUAAGCACAUGGUUAUCUGUGGGUAAAGAAAGCGCUGUAACAUCUAUGUCUCACCACGCUCUGAUCAGUGAAGCUCUUAGCCCUGGCAAGCAUGUCAGCUGUGAGAGCUGCCCCAAAGGGCAUGCUGAAAGCUGUGUGCUGCCAUUGCCCUGCUUCUUGUCCUCACUGCCACCUUUAGAAGCCCACGUGGUAGGAAAUAGCUAGCCCACAGCUGUGCAUGUGCCAGUCAGUCUGUCAAUAAAUAUGUGUGUGUAUACAUGCA